UGAUCCUACGGGAGGCAGCAGUGGGGAAUAUUGCACAAUGGGGGAAACCCUGAUGCAGCGACGCCGCGUGAGUGAAGAAGUAUUUCGGUAUGUAAAGCUCUGUCAGCAGGGAAGAAAAUGACGGUACCUGACCAAGAAGCCCCGGCUAACUACGUGCCAGCAGCCGCGGUAAUACGUAGGGUGCAAGCGUUGUCCGGAAUUACUGGGUGUAAAGGGAGCGCAGGCGGAUUGACAAGUUGGGAGUGAAAACUACGGGCUCAACCCGUAACCUGCUUUCAAAACUGUCAGUCUUGAGUGGUGUAGAG
Molecule: ribosomal RNA, 305 nt
Filed under: uncultured bacterium
Lineage: Bacteria
Description: bacterial SSU rRNA
Rfam family: Bacterial small subunit ribosomal RNA
Source: RNAcentral